AGAGAGAGAGAGAGAGAGAGAGAGAGAGAGAGGAAUAUAUACUUAUAGCCUUUGUGUCAGAAACUCUGGAUUUGGGAGGAGUAUGGCCUGAGGGCUAUAUAGCAGAGGCCCACGUAGCUGAGCUGAGAGGGCUGAGCAACCGACCAGGGCAUGUGAACAUUGCCUGCAGGUGUGACACCAGUCAUCAAUGGAAACAAGCAACCAGGAAGUUCAAAGGAUGAAAUCAGUACAGAAAGAGGAAGGCGAUUUCUUUGCAUCACGCAGAAGUGACUACCGUCGUAAUCGUACCACUGCCUCCCUGUCUUGAAGCUGGUCCUGUGGCUUGAGGGCAACUGAAGGCCAGAUUCAAUGGAGCUUACAGUACCUGAAUGUGGAUUAAGAAAUACUCUCAGACUAGACCAUGGAUCAACUUCUCAGGCAUCAAUUUCACCUAUGAAAUUUUGGCCAACAUGUAAGAAAUUCAGCUACUCUGAAGCUACCAUGCUGGAAAGGCCAUGUGGAGAAAAAACAUGGACAUAAAGAUGCUUGGGCUCUAGCUGUUUCAGCCUUCAGCUGUCUGAGACUUCCUAGUCUAGGCACCAGGCAUGUGAAUGAAGAUCCUUCAGAGAAUUCCAGCCUUUAAGCUGCCCAGCUGCUGCCAAGUGAGACAGAGAUGAGCUGUCCCUGCUGAGCCCUAAAGCUGCAGAUUCAUGAGCAAAAUAAAUGUUGUUGUUUUAAGCCACUAA
Canis lupus familiaris (dog) is the source of this 725-nucleotide long non-coding RNA. RefSeq lists it as uncharacterized. The record is from RefSeq and is a predicted model, not a curated record. The transcript has 4 exons. NCBI's taxonomy places the organism in Eukaryota, Metazoa, Chordata, Mammalia, Carnivora, Canidae.